Pelobates cultripes (western spadefoot toad) is the source of this 530-nucleotide non-coding RNA. Lineage: Eukaryota; Metazoa; Chordata; Amphibia; Anura; Pelobatidae. The record is from the annotation of a GenBank genome assembly.
GGAGCAGGCACUUUUUUGCAAUGUGAGGCGUGUAUCCAAGAACUCUUCCCGGCUAGUUUAACUGACGUUGCUGUAAUCAGGAGCACUUGAUAAGGACCAUCAAAUCUUGGUUCUAGGGUGUGUUUCCUGAGAAACUUCUUGACCAUAACCCAAUCACCAGGAAGCAGCUUGUGUGUACCUGUAUUCGACUCAGGAUCUGGAAUAGAAGAAAACACUUGGGCAUGUAUCUUGGUCAAGGCAUGUGAGAGGGCAGUCACAUAGUCUACCAUAGCAUCUGACUGAAUCUGAAGCUGCUGGGGGAAGUAACAACCUAACCUGGGUGCUGUACCAAACAAAAUCUCAUAAGGUGAUAGGCUAUAUUUUCCUCUGGGAGUGUACCUUACACUAAACAACGCUAGUGGGAGACUCUCGGGCCAGGGCAUGUUAGUUUCUUGUGACAUUUUAAGCAUUCUGGCUUUCAAAGUGCCAUUCAUGCGCUCUACUUUACCACUACUCUGUGGGUGAUAUGGUGUGUGGAAUGCAAGGGUCAC